Canis lupus familiaris (dog) is the source of this 349-nucleotide long non-coding RNA. RefSeq lists it as uncharacterized. The record is from RefSeq and is a predicted model, not a curated record. NCBI's taxonomy places the organism in Eukaryota, Metazoa, Chordata, Mammalia, Carnivora, Canidae. The transcript has 3 exons.
CUCAGUUCUGAACUCAGGUGGGGAAUGAAAAUAACAUGUUCCAGGCUACCAAAAACCCUCACAUAGACCAAGCUGUCUCCCAGAUGCCUGGCCCAAUAAAUCAGUGGAUGCCAACUGAGCCUGGUUCAUGUAAGCAGCAUCUGCCAUGGGCCAUGUCAGCAUUCCUUUCUCCACAUUUAACAUCCAUGCCAGUCUAGGACCUGACAGUGAACCAGGAGACCUGGCAAUUGGUGGCAAGAUAUGGAGAAGGCUAGGAGUAUAUGCUUUCUGAAAGGAAGUGGGCCUAUGAACAUCAAGACUGGAGGAGGAGGAUGUCAGAGGAAACAGCUGACGAGUGAGGGAUGGGCAG